GUCCUGAAGUUUUAGGGCUUAACACAAUAAAAAUAAUUAUUUUCAUUCAAGUCCAAGUUUGUUUCAGUUAGAGGCUGUGGGGCAGCUGGACAAACGGUAGGCAUUCAGGGAUCUAGUAACCAUCUUCAACACCUGCAAAGGACACUUUGGACAAAGAAGAUAGAAGGAAAGUGUGUAGACCAUACAGCUCUACUGGUCUUAACCCAGGAGUGAUACAUCAUUUACACUUACAGUCCAUCAGCCAGAGUUAGUCCUCACACCCCUGCCUGGAUGCAAGGGCCUUGGAGAUGCAGUUUGUGUCUAAACCCAAGAGAGAAGUGGUUUGGGUGACCAUCCAGUCAGUCUCUGCCAUGGGAAUGAAGCAAGUGAGUCUCAAGUCUAAAGAUGGGUCAGUUGUUCUGGGGACUGGCAACCGGGUACUGGAGAGAGAGUCUAGCACACAGAACUGAGGUAGUGAGGGAUGCUUCGAGAUUCCCAAAGCCAAGCUGCAUCUUAGUCUUCAGAGGUGCUUCCCAACCUAUUCAUCUCCCAGUACCUGUGGAAAAUGAUCAUUUGUGUUCUAUGUGUGAGAUACGAAUGAGGCUAUUCAAGGCCAGGGGUGGGAGUUCCAGGGCUCUAACCUCUCCAGGGGGCCACGUGACCACCGUGAAGGCUGAGGAGGAACAUAUACUGACGACCUGUUUGCAACAUAGUUGUGAGCUGCCGCUCAGGGCGCAAAGUUGUGGUCCAGAGAACGAAGCAGGUGACGUACACCAGGAGUGUAUUCUGUGAUGAUCAAAACCUACUGCUGCCAUCAUGGGCUACGACCCACAAGAAGGGAACCAGGACUAUAAAAACCUGGGGAAGCAGAAUUGUCGUGAAGGCUCUGAGGAUGCUCAGGUGCUGGGACCACAGACUUUGCCCUUAUCUGGAAGCCGCAUUCAGAAUGGGAGAGUCCCUCCUGGCGAGCAGGAUUAGCAAGUUGGACUAUCAAUUAUGUUAUAUUUGUAGCCAAAAUAUGAAAGGAACUCAUAAGGCCCAGUAGCAUGAGAACAAUCCAAUUUAAAAGUGGUCAGAGGAACUACAUAGAGACUUUCCUAAAGAAGACAAAUGGCUAAUGAGUACACGAAAUGGGGCUCAACAUCACUAAUCAGGGAAAUGCAAGUCAAACCCACAACUAGUUAUCUCCUCACAACUGUUAGAUUGCUGCUAAGUUACUUCAUUCGUGUCCGACUCUGUGCAACCCCAUAGAUGGCAGCCCACCAGGCUCCCCCGUCCCUGGGAUUCUCCAGGCAAGAACGCUGGAGUGGGUUGCCAUUUCCUUCUCCAAUGCAGGAAAGUGAAAAGUGAAAGUGAAGUCGCUCAGUUGCGUCCAACUCUUAGCAACUCCAUGGACUGCAGCCUACCAGGCUCCUCCGUCCAUGGGAUUUUCCAGGCAGUACUGGAGUGGGGUGCCACUGCCUUCUCCAAACUGUUAGACUGGCUGUCACCAAAUAGACAAGAGAUAGUAGUAUUGGCGAGGCUGUGGAGAAAAGGGAACCCUUGUGCAGUGUUAGUAAGAAUGUAAAAUGGUUCAGUCACUGUGGAAAACAAUAGUGAGGUUCUUCAGAAAAAUUAAAAAUAUAAUUACCAUAUGAUUCCGUAAUUCCAACUGUGAGUAUAUAUUUAAAGGGGAUGAAAACAGGGUAUCAAAUGAGAUAACUACAGCCCCAUGUUCAUAGCAGCACUAUUUACAAUAGCCAAGACAUGGAAGCAACCUAAAUGUCCAGACAGAUGAAUGGAUAGAGAUGUAACAUAUUAUCCAGCUCUCAGAAAGAAAGAAAUCAUGCCAUUUGUGAAUGGAUCUUGAGGGUAUUAUGCUAAGUGAAAUAAGGCAGAAAGAGAAAGACAAAUACUCCAAAGUAUCACUUAUACCUGGAAUCUUAAAAAAACACACACACAAAAACUAACUCCUAGACAGAGUAAAACAGUGGUUGCCAGAGGCUGGGGGGUUGGGGAAUAGAGAGAUGUUGAUAAAAAGGGUACAAAGUUUCAGAUGUGUGAUGAACAAGGUCUGAGGAUCUAACUUCAAACAUGGUGACUAUAGUUGACAACACUGUAU
Bos taurus (domestic cattle) is the source of this 2080-nucleotide long non-coding RNA. NCBI's taxonomy places the organism in Eukaryota, Metazoa, Chordata, Mammalia, Artiodactyla, Bovidae. The record is from Ensembl.